Cornus florida is the source of this 272-nucleotide long non-coding RNA. RefSeq lists it as uncharacterized. NCBI's taxonomy places the organism in Eukaryota, Viridiplantae, Streptophyta, Magnoliopsida, Cornales, Cornaceae. The transcript is spliced from 3 exons. The record is from RefSeq and is a predicted model, not a curated record.
GGGCCUCUUUGGUAAUCCCUUUGCUAUUAGAUAGAGAAGUACACGAGGACCAGCUAAUUGGUGGGAAGCUUAUGGCAAGUCAACAAAACUUCUCCAAAAGUUUGCUAUAAAGGUUUUAAGCCUUACUUGCAGUUCUUCUGGUUGUGAACGAAAUUGGAGCGUGUUUGAGCAUCUUCAUAACAAGAAAAGAAAUAGGCUCGCUCAAACAACGUUGAAUGAUUUAGUGUUCAUCAAAUAUAAUAGAGCAUUGAGGCAUCGAUAUAAUAUGCGUG